UACAGAGGUCUCAAGCGUUGUUCGGAUUCAUUGGGCGUAAAGGGUGCGUAGGUGGCUAGGUAAGUCGGGUGUGAAAUCCCGGGGCUCAACCCUGGAACUGCACUCGAUACUGCCAUGCUCGAGUACUGGAGAGGAGACUGGAAUUUACGGUGUAGCAGUGAAAUGCGUAGAUAUCUGGAGGAACACCGGCGGCGAAGGCGAGUCCCUGGACAAUUCCUGACGCUGAGGCACGAAAGCUAGGGGAGCAAACAGG
Molecule: ribosomal RNA, 253 nt
Filed under: uncultured bacterium
Lineage: Bacteria
Description: partial 16S ribosomal RNA
Rfam family: Bacterial small subunit ribosomal RNA
Source: RNAcentral